CAAUAGCGUAUAUUAAAGUUGUUGCAGUUAAAAAGCUCGUAGUUGGAUUUCGGAGUCUGGGUGAUCAGUCGGCGGAAACGUCUGUACUGGGCGCCCUACUCUUCCUUCUGUGGACUACGUCUGUUCUUAGUUGAUCGGGCGCUGGGAUGCAGAUCGUUUACUUUGAAUAAAUUAGAGUGUUCAAAGCAGGCUAUCGCUUGAAUACGUUAGCAUGGAAUAAUAGAAUAGGACUUUGGUUCUAUUUUGUUGGUUUCUAGGGCCGAAGUAAUGAUUAACAGGGGUGGUUGGGGCCGUUUUUAUUCAGAUGUCAGAGGUGAAAUUCUUGGAUUUUCGGAAGAAAAACUGCUGCGAAAGCGUUCGGCAAGGACGUUUUCAUUAA
RNAcentral lists this ribosomal RNA (379 nucleotides) under uncultured eukaryote. RNAcentral describes it as "partial 18S ribosomal RNA". It matches the Rfam family "Eukaryotic small subunit ribosomal RNA", at positions 592 to 976 of the family's 1831-position model. The record is from RNAcentral.